GCAUAUCUGCCAAGUAUCAGGGUGAAUUCAUCAUAUUUAAUGUUUAUAUGUGCUGUAUGAAGGGCUUAGGAAAUGCCCUGUCCAAGGCGGACAAGUUAAAGGGAAAUUAUCACCAUUAUUUCUUGCUAACCGUGUAUAUGUUUAUGUUCGAUGGUGCACUUUAAAGAAAAAUGGAAUCACGUGUGAACCGUAUGCCUGUUGAUCUAAAUCGGCCGUCCUACGUAAUCGCACUCUAGGUUCUAGGAACCAUGUCCGGUGUUUUUCCAUGGUUCGGAUUGGUUUUGAAGCUCGGUUACAUGAAGUAAGGAUUCAGUUUGUGGAACCGAAAGUACAGUUACAAGAAUCGAAUAGUCUGAUCAAUACAGAACACCGUACUUACGGUCCAUAAUAAUAGACCAAACUUUUUUGCUCGCUGUAUAUGUGUGAAAGUUCUGUUAUAAUACAUGAGUGGAGAUAUGUGCGACUAAAUAUGCGUGAACCGAUUAUUUUCCAAAUCAUGUGCUGCUUUCGACUCACAAAAGGCGAUAAUUCUUCAGCUUCUAAGCAAGUAUUUUCGAUCCUAUCUCAAGCAGCAGUGUAAACAAAUCACAGUUCAACCUUGGUGAUUUAUGGCACAUUUCUAUUAUAUAUACCCUGUUUUAUUUACUGUAAAAUAGUUUUGACUGCAGUUCACACCACUGAGCAGGUAUGUGAAUCGUCUUUGUGAGCAUAUUCUUCAAUUGUGUCAGUUUUUUUCAAAAGGGUUUAAGUUCAUUUGCAGUAUGCAUAAAUUUUCAUAAAUUUCAGGAAUCUUGCAAAAGUGAUUUAGUCCUUUUAGGAGUGAAAUGAUUCAAGCGUGACCGUACAUGGGAAAAGAAACCGUUGUGCCGAAAAACUGAGAACUGAUAUUAUAGUAACUGAUUACGAGGGUGUCUUACAAACUAUGUCAGCAAAAAGAACCGAAUCCGAUAUGAUUUGAAGUUUGUCAUAAAAAAAUAUAGUUUUGAGAGGAGAAGAAAAGGAAUUAAAAUUGUUUUUCUCCCUUUUCAGAGUU
RNAcentral lists this long non-coding RNA (1033 nucleotides) under Bemisia tabaci. RNAcentral describes it as "lncRNA ENSSSA2NGG014076". Lineage: Eukaryota; Metazoa; Arthropoda; Insecta; Hemiptera; Aleyrodidae. The record is from RNAcentral.